This is a long non-coding RNA of Alligator mississippiensis (American alligator), 5037 nucleotides long. RefSeq lists it as uncharacterized. NCBI's taxonomy places the organism in Eukaryota, Metazoa, Chordata, Crocodylia, Alligatoridae. The record is from RefSeq and is a predicted model, not a curated record. The transcript has 3 exons.
UUUGCCUAUACUGCUUGAUAUCUAUAUACAGAAGAAUCUAUAUAUAUACAUAUGAUAUCUAUAUACUCUUUGCAGCUACUGAAUUUAGGAUCCUAGCCAUUUUUAUAGUUAUUUUUCUGUACAUUUUAAGCAAAAGUAAUAUAUACUUAUCAUGUACUUAAUGUAAAAAAAAACCCAGCAAGUUUUAUACAAAGCUAUUUGUAGGCCAGUCUAGACUCCCUAGAAUGUCCAGGUUCAUGAAAAAACUUUCAGCUGUUCCCUGUUCUAUGUGAGGCACUGUGCACGUGCCCCAUCAUAAUUCUGUGAUGCUCACCAACCCCAAAUGUAGUGGGGUGCGCCUCUGAGGCAAACUCCUAGGGUGUUCUCACAGCCUUGGGCGAUGCGUAGGGGGUGCACACGGGUGCAUGUGCGCCCCUGAGCAUGGUGGUGCACCCCCUGCAGAAAGGGGUGCCUGUGGGGGGUCGCCACUUGCCAUCCUGCCACUGACACCGCCGGCAGUGUUUGUGGGCAGUCCACAAUCGCCCCUGGCUGCCGCCGCCACUGCUCACCACCUCCCCCCACCUCCCUGCUGCUGACAGUGCCAGCAGUGUUUGUGGGAGCUCCCUGCUUACCACUGCAGCUCUCCCACCACUGCCACCGCAAUCCUGCUGCAACCAGCGCAGCUGUGCCCCCCCCCCCCAGCUGCCGGGGGCACGCGCCAUUCAUGGUCACAGUCCCAGCCCCUUCCUGCCAUCUGCUGCUUGAUCACUGAGAAAGAUUGAGAUGCUCCAAAGGUCACCUCCCUGCCCUAUGGUACCUCAGCUUUACCUCCCUCACCCAGGUUUUGCCAGCUCUUAGCGUGGGGGGUGUUGCCAGCUAGGAGAAUCACACCCUUGUUCGCUCUUGCACUCAGAAAAAAUAGAUUCUCCCUUCCAGAAUAGAGGCCUGUUCUGAGAUCCCAGUUAAUUCUGACAAUAAGUGAAUAAAAAACCCCACAAAAGGAUCUAUUAUAAAAUCAAGAACAAGCAUAAGAAAUCAGUAACCAUAUGUUGAUAUGCAGACAGCGAUAUAAGAACAAACAAACAAAAUACCUGAAAAAUAACCUGUUCUUAUCCUGCAUCUUAAAUCCAAGAAUGCAGUCCCUACCCAGUUUAACAGGUUAGAAGGCGACUCCUGUCGCUGACCCCUCUGCCAGGACCUUCUGCAGUUUCUCUCUCAGCCUGCUUUACUCAGCCUGCUAGCUGAGGGACUGCAGCCUUCCCUGUACCCAAGAGAAAAAAUUUUGCUCUCAAUGCAAGGCUAAAGUAUAGUUUCUUUUCUGGCCAAUCACAUACCUCACCUAUUGGAUUCUCAGGAGGCCCAUACUAUGUGUGGGCCUGCGGAAAGCCCUGCAGCUUCUGUGCACAGGUCUGUGGCUCAAGGAUUGGACUCUUAAGUCACCUCAAGACCCAUCAAUGAACUCUGGUAGACAUCAUCCUUGAAUUGAGGAACUGCCAAUAACUAAGAAGGCUAAGCAUACUGGGUUGCAUUAGUAGAAGCAUUCCCAGCAGAUCAAGGGAAGUAAUUAUUCCCCUUUAUUCAGCACUCGUGAGGCCACAUCUGGUGUCCUGUGUCCAGUUUUGAGCCCCCCACUACAGAAGGGAUGUAGACAAGUUGGAAAGAGUCCAGCGGAGGACAAUAAAAAUGGGUAGGAGGCUAGGACUUAUGAGGAGAGGCUGGGGGGACAGGGCUUAUUUAGUCUGCCCAAGAGAAGACUGAGGCGGGAUUUGAUAGCAGCCUUUAACUACCUGAAGGGUGGGUCCAAAGAGAAUGGAGCCAGACUGUUCUCAGUGGUGGCAGAUGGCAGAACAAGAAGCAAUGUUCUCAAGUUGCAACAAGGGAAGUUUAGGUUGGAUAUUAGGAAAAACCUUCUCACUAGGAUGGUGGUGAAGUACUGGAGUGGAUUACCUAGAGAGGUGGUGGAAUCUCCAUCCUUGGAGGUUUUUAAGGCCUGGCUCAACAAAGCCCUGGCUAGGAUGAUCUAGUUGGGGAGGGUCCUGCUUUGAGCAGGGGGUUGGACUAGAUGACCUCCUGAUGUCCCUUCCAACUCUAAUUUUCUAUGAGUCUAUGAUUUUGUGAUUCUAAAUGUAUAACUUCCUGCCCUUUCCAAAGGUGCAUGUGUUUAACAAAGCAGAAAUCUUUCUUGAUCUAAUUAUGACCAGGAGAAUAUUUACAUCCUUGAAAAUAUAAAAACUGCUAAUCCAAUAUCCUAAAGAUCCUGUGUGUCUUAAUUUCUUCCACAACACCCCAACCUCCCCACACUAUAUUUGGGGUCAUGAUAUAUGACAUGAUAGGGAACUUAAGCACUAUGAGGUAGGUGACAGAUGAGCAGCAGUUUUACAGAUGUCAGUGGCACUCAAAUGGUAGAUUUAGGCACUUAUCUGUAUGUAUGGUUUGGGCCUACAUGUAUAACUAUGCAGUGUAGUGUGGAUAUUGCAUAGUGACUUCAGUGGAGUUACUGACGAUGUAGAGUUAAGCAUGUGCAUACAUCUUUUCAGGGUUGUUCCCUGUAUAUUGGAACUGUUGUCUCUAUCAGGCAGUUUGGGAAUGUUUAGGUAUAUUUGAGUAGAAACUUGUUCUGUUCAAGUUCCAGAACUCUUAGAUAUGUUUAAAGGUUGCUGCUCUUGACCAAUACUACAAAAACUAAUAUGGGACUCACUGAACUAAUGAAUUAAUCUUAUUUCACUUCUUAUUCAGUCUCAUUCUUUCACAUAUUAAUGUUCUCUUUGAUAGUAUCCCCAGGCCUGUAACUCCCUUCCAAUCUUAAAGUACAAGGCAGCCAUCCUCCCUCUAUUCUAAUUCCUUCUCAAUACUUCUUUUGUGAAGCCUCCAACACCAAUUCAUCUCAGUAAAAGGUUAUUGUUAUUCUUAAAACACUGGAUAAAAUAGAGUCUUUGUCUAGGUCUCUGAUUUUAUUUUGUGUUUAAACUGUCAGCUCCUCUCCUAUAGGACUGUUUUUCUUGUAAAGUGCAAAGCAAUGGAAUUGGGGUUUUAAUAAAUAAUUAUGACAACACUGGAAAAUAGGAAGUAUGUUUUUACACAGUAUACAAAAAUUUGGAAGUGACUACCACAAAGAAAAUGAACUGUAGCCCUGGGGUUAUAUGAAAGUAGGAGGUAAAAUAAUGCAUUCUUCAGGGAAUAAAUUGACUGCAUAUGGGAACUAGAAACAAGUAUGUGCUAAAAAGUUAGCUCAGAGCCAUAUGAAAUAAUGUCAGUGUUGUAAGGUGCAACAGAUCAUGGAAGAAUACUUAUAAGGAACUAACAUUUAUUUCCUAACCUCUGCCAUCUGACAAGGUGUCCAGGUUACAAAAGGUAAACCAACCCCAUGACAGGAGUCAGUAUUUGUUGGCUCCUAACAUUACAGAGAUAUAAUUGUCUUUCCAUAAAGCUGUUACUCAUUUUUUGCAGCCUAGAUCUUGGCUUAGAUUGACCACUGUUCUGUUCUCUGCAGAAUCCUAAUUGCCUUCCUGGCUUGGCUUGUGAAAUGCAGAUACUGUUUAAGAUUUUAUAAAUGACCGUAGGUGCUUGUGGUGUCACAGGAGGCAUGGAAAUAGAAUAUUUUUCCCACAAGGAGGAAUUUUAAAGGAAACUCAAAUGCCUCUUGUGCAGAGGCAGAAGAAUGUAACAGUGGCCACAAUAUGAAGACUGGAAAUCCCAGCAAAGAAAUGAAAAAUGAAAACUGUCAGAGAUCCUGCAGGCAUGCUGUUUACAUUUAGGAUCAUCUUUCACAUCCAACUGAAACAGAAACGUCCUUGUACACUCCAGGAAAGUGACUAAUUCAGGAGUUUAUCUGCUGCAGUCCUCAGAACCUGAUUGGUUUUUUAAUUACCUAACUUCCAAGGCAUUUGCUUUUUGGUGCGUGUUUCUUUAGUGUCUUGAACAGCAUGGCCUAUUUUGUAACAUUUUGUUCUUUUGACUUCCCUCUGAUGAGCUGAUUAUUGUACAUCAUUAUCUGAUUUCUCUAGCUGUCAUCCAGCUCAGUAACUAACUUUUCUUUUUGCUUGAGAGAGCACUUUGGGAGGCAUCUGAUUUAGAAAUAAUUCGGGUCAACAUAGGAAAAAUCCAGUUAUUGUCACAUUCAGACACAGAGGGAAAACUUGUGUAGGAUACCUUUUAACAUGCUUCAAUCUCUGUUGAAGCACACUACUCGGAGAAAAAAGGCCGAACAGAUUUUGUUUUGACCUUUUGGCAUUUCUGUGUAGGGAUUAAAAAAACUAUUCUUUGUCCUUAUUUUGCAGCUGUAGAAGGAUAUCCAAACCUUUAACAUUGCUUAUGAAAAGGAUCAACAGUUCAAGCUUCAAGGCAUUAGGUUGAAACAUGUUUUCAGUUUCUAGUCAGACUUCAUCCCAACCUCUGACAUUUUCUGCAUUCUUUAACUAGUUUUAACUCUCCUUGUUGCAGUUUCUGUCAUUCUGAGCAGGUUGCUUUUUGCAAAAAAUGCUAAAUUAAAUAUGGGAAUUGUAAUAAUUACUGUUUGUUUUAAUUCAAAGCCAAAGGACUCUAUUUCUCCAGACAUCAGGUGAGCUCCAUUCCCACAAUACCUUCAUAUGAAAAUGUCUCUUCACAGUACUAUCAGUCUCCCAUAGUAGUGUGGGACCUUCUGUACGUGAGUUCCCCAUACAGCAGGAAAGAAGAGGAACAUAAUAAGGAAAUGAGUGACAGGAGAUGCUAAGAACUGUUAGUUUUACUCUGGGUAUUUGAGGUAUUAUGUUUUUCUCUUUAGAGACCCUCAUGGAAAUCUUUACAUCAGUACUGAAUAGAACAAAAUAAAAUGUUGUUGGGAAAAAAUAUUUGUCAUUUAAUCCUGCAAUAUUUUCUAUGUCUGAUUCUCAACUAGGGUGAUAUGGAGUCCUUUUAAAGGUGCUGUGGGGUGCCAUGAGUUAUGCAAACAUCAGCACAUGAUUUCCAAGAUAAAUCCAGAGGUUUCAAAUAAGAGCCCAGUGUCAAUUCUGACCUGGUGUAGUCUGAGUUAGUUGCAACAGAAGAAUUGUUUUAUUAUUUUUCUGUAGUCAAGAAAUG